AGUUUAUUGUUUUUUAUAAUAAAUAUUUUCUGCCCGGUGUUUGGAUAUACGGCCGCGGUAUUUUGACCGUGCAAAGGUAGCAUAAUCAUUUGCCCUUUAAUUGGGGGCUGGAAUGAAUGAAAGUUUGCAAUUUCGACUGUCUCUUUUUUAUUUUAUAAUUUGCUGUUUUUAUGAAGAAGUAGGGGUGACAUAGUAGGACAAGAAGACCCUUUUAAGCUUUAUUUUUAUUUUUUUAUUUUUUCUUUUAAGUAUUGUUGUAAUUAUUAAUAAAAUUUGGUUGGGGUGAUUAGAAAAGAUAAUAUCUUUUCUGGAUUUCUAAAUAUUGUAUUUUAGUUUGAACCAGGAUUUUUUGGUUGAUAGAAUUAGUUACUAAAGGGAUAACAGCGUAAUUUUUUCAGAGAGUUCUUAUUGAAGAAAAGGAUUGCGACCUCGAUGUUGACUUGUUUUAUCCUUGUAAGGUGCAGUAGCUGAUAGGGUUAGUCUGUUCGACUAUUAAAAAAGC
Molecule: ribosomal RNA, 502 nt
Filed under: Lineidae sp. Kuril E09
Lineage: Eukaryota; Metazoa; Nemertea; Pilidiophora; Heteronemertea; Lineidae
Also listed under: 1 other name
Description: partial large subunit ribosomal RNA
Rfam family: Bacterial large subunit ribosomal RNA
Source: RNAcentral